Molecule: ribosomal RNA, 468 nt
Filed under: uncultured bacterium
Lineage: Bacteria
Description: partial 16S ribosomal RNA
Rfam family: Bacterial small subunit ribosomal RNA
Source: RNAcentral
GACGAACGCUGGCGGCGUGCUUAACACAUGCAAGUCGAACGGUGAAGCUCCAGCUUGCUGGAGUGGAUCAGUGGCGAACGGGUGAGUAACACGUGAGCAACCUGCCCCUGACUCUGGAAUAAGCGCUGGAAACAGCGUCUAAUACUGGAUACGAGAAGGGUCCGCAUGGGCACUUUCUGGAAAGUUUUUCGGUUGGGGAUGGGCUCGCGGCCUAUCAGCUUGUUGGUGAGGUAAUGGCUCACCAAGGCGACGACGGGUAGCCGGCCUGAGAGGGCGACCGGACACACUGGGACUGAGACACGGCACAGACUCCUACGGGAGGCAGCAGUGGGGAAUAGUGCACAAUGGGCGAAAGCCUGAUGCAGCGACGCCGCGUGAGGGAUGACGGCCUUCGGGUUGUAAACCUCUUUCAGCAGGGAAGAAGCGAAAGUGACGGUACCUGCAGAAGAAGCACCGGCUAACUACGUG